RNAcentral lists this ribosomal RNA (405 nucleotides) under uncultured bacterium. RNAcentral describes it as "bacterial SSU rRNA". It matches the Rfam family "Bacterial small subunit ribosomal RNA", at positions 355 to 776 of the family's 1533-position model. The record is from RNAcentral.
UAAGGAAUAUUGGUCAAUGGGCGCAAGCCUGAACCAGCAACGCCGCGUGGAGGAAGAAGGGUUUCGGCUCGUAAACUCCUUUUAGGUGGGACGAGACAGGACGGUACCACCUGAAUAAGUCUCGGCUAACUACGUGCCAGCAGCCGCGGUAAAACGUAGGAGACGAGCGUUAUCCGGAUUUACUGGGCGUAAAGCGCGUGCAGGCGGUUCAAUAAGUCAUAUGUGAAAGCACCUGGCUCAACUGGGUGAGGCCAUGUGAGACUGUUGAACUAGAGAGAGGUAGAGGCCAACGGAAUUCCGGGUGGAGUGGUGAAAUGCGUAGAGAUCCGGAGGAACACCAGUGGCGAAGGCGGUUGGCUGGGCCUACUCUGACGCUCAGACGCGACAGCAUGGGGAGCGAACGGG